This 997-nucleotide ribosomal RNA is filed under the name Limosilactobacillus fermentum. RNAcentral describes it as "bacterial SSU rRNA". It matches the Rfam family "Bacterial small subunit ribosomal RNA", at positions 453 to 1451 of the family's 1533-position model. The record is from RNAcentral. Lineage: Bacteria; Bacillati; Bacillota; Bacilli; Lactobacillales; Lactobacillaceae.
GUAACUGUUCAUACGUUGACGGUAUUUAACCAGAAAGUCACGGCUAAUUACGUGCCAGCAGCCGCGGUAAUACGUAGGUGGCAAGCGUUAUCCGGAUUUAUUGGGCGUAAAGAGAGUGCAGGCGGUUUUCUAAGUCUGAUGUGAAAGCCUUCGGCUUAACCGGAGAAGUGCAUCGGAAACUGGAUAACUUGAGUGCAGAAGAGGGUAGUGGAACUCCAUGUGUAGCGGUGGAAUGCGUAGAUAUAUGGAAGAACACCAGUGGCGAAGGCGGCUACCUGGUCUGCAACUGACGCUGAGACUCGAAAGCAUGGGUAGCGAACAGGAUUAGAUACCCUGGUAGUCCAUGCCGUAAACGAUGAGUGCUAGGUGUUGGAGGGUUUCCGCCCUUCAGUGCCGGAGCUAACGCAUUAAGCACUCCGCCUGGGGAGUACGACCGCAAGGUUGAAACUCAAAGGAAUUGACGGGGGCCCGCACAAGCGGUGGAGCAUGUGGUUUAAUUCGAAGCUACGCGAAGAACCUUACCAGGUCUUGACAUCUUGCGCCAACCCUAGAGAUAGGGCGUUUCCUUCGGGAACGCAAUGACAGGUGGUGCAUGGUCGUCGUCAGCUCGUGUCGUGAGAUGUUGGGUUAAGUCCCGCAACGAGCGCAACCCUUGUUACUAGUUGCCAGCAUUAAGUUGGGCACUCUAGUGAGACUGCCGGUGACAAACCGGAGGAAGGUGGGGACGACGUCAGAUCAUCAUGCCCCUUAUGACCUGGGCUACACACGUGCUACAAUGGACGGUACAACGAGUCGCGAACUCGCGAGGGCAAGCAAAUCUCUUAAAACCGUUCUCAGUUCGGACUGCAGGCUGCAACUCGCCUGCACGAAGUCGGAAUCGCUAGUAAUCGCGGAUCAGCAUGCCGCGGUGAAUACGUUCCCGGGCCUUGUACACACCGCCCGUCACACCAUGAGAGUUUGUAACACCCAAAGUCGGUGGGGUAACCUUUAGGAGCCA